CCAGACUCCUACGGGAGGCAGCAGUGGGGGAUAUUGCACAAUGGGGGAAACCCUGAUGCAGCGACGCCGCGUGGGUGAAGAAGCGCCUCGGCGCGUAAAGCCCUGUCAGCAGGGAAGAAAAUGACGGUACCUGACCAAGAAGCCCCGGCUAACUACGUGCCAGCAGCCGCGGUAAUACGUAGGGGGCAAGCGUUAUCCGGAUUUACUGGGUGUAAAGGGAGCGUAGACGGCAAGGCAAGUCUGGAGUGAAAGCCCGUGGCUCAACCACGGGACUGCUUUGGAAACUGUGUUGCUGGAGUGCAGGAGGGGUAAGCGGAAUUCCUAGUGUAGCGGUGAAAUGCGUAGAUAUUAGGAGGAACACCGGCGGCGAAGGCGGCCUGCUGGACCGCGACUGACGUUGAGGCUCGAAAGCGUGGGGAGCGAACAGGAUUAGAUACCCGUGUA
Molecule: ribosomal RNA, 444 nt
Filed under: uncultured bacterium
Lineage: Bacteria
Description: bacterial SSU rRNA
Rfam family: Bacterial small subunit ribosomal RNA
Source: RNAcentral